This 437-nucleotide ribosomal RNA is filed under the name uncultured bacterium. RNAcentral describes it as "bacterial SSU rRNA". It matches the Rfam family "Bacterial small subunit ribosomal RNA", at positions 29 to 496 of the family's 1533-position model. The record is from RNAcentral.
AACGAACGCUGGCGGCAGGCUUAACACAUGCAAGUCGAACGCUCGUCUUCGGACGGGAGUGGCAGACGGGUGAGUAACGCGUGGGAACGUACCCUUCGGUUCGGAAUAACCCGGGGAACUCGGAUUAAUACCGGAUACGUCCGUCUCUGGAGACAGAGGGGGAGAAAGAUUUAUCGCCGAAGGAUCGGCCCGCGUCGGAUUAGCUAGUUGGUGGGGUAAUGGCCCACCAAGGCGACGAUCCGUAGCUGGUCUGAGAGGAUGAUCAGCCACACUGGGACUGAGACACGGCCCAGACUCCUACGGGAGGCAGCAGUGGGGAAUAUUGGACAAUGGGCGAAAGCCUGAUCCAGCCAUGCCGCGUGAGUGAAGAAGGCCUUAGGGUUGUAAAGCUCUUUCAGCGGGGAAGAUAAUGACGGUACCCGCAGAAGAAGCCCCGG